UCCGGUUUGUCACCGGCAGUCUCCCAUGAGUCCCCGCCAUUACGCGCUGGCAACAUGGAACGAGGGUUGCGCUCGUUGCGGGACUUAACCCAACAUCCCACGACACGAGCUGACGACAACCAUGCACCACCUGUGAACCGGCCCCGAAGGGAAGGACUGUUUCCAGCCCGAUCCGGCCCAUGUCAAGCCUUGGUAAGGUUCUUCGCGUUGCAUCGAAUUAAUCCGCAUGCUCCGCCGCUUGUGCGGGCCCCCGUCAAUUCCUUUGAGUUUUAGCCUUGCGGCCGUACUCCCCAGGCGGGACACUUAAUGCGUUAGCUUCGGCACGGAGGGAGUCGACACCCCCCACACCUAGUGUCCAUCGUUUACGGCGUGGACUAC
RNAcentral lists this unclassified non-coding RNA (378 nucleotides) under uncultured Actinomycetes bacterium. RNAcentral's name for it is "uncultured actinobacterium contains 16S-23S intergenic spacer region". Lineage: Bacteria; Bacillati; Actinomycetota; Actinomycetes. The record is from RNAcentral.